RNAcentral lists this ribosomal RNA (253 nucleotides) under uncultured bacterium. RNAcentral describes it as "partial 16S ribosomal RNA". It matches the Rfam family "Bacterial small subunit ribosomal RNA", at positions 524 to 776 of the family's 1533-position model. The record is from RNAcentral.
UACGGAGGGGGCAAGCGUUGUUCGGAAUUAUUGGGCGUAAAGAGUAUGUAGGCGGCUAUUUAAGUCAGGCGUGCAAGCCCACGGCUCAACCGUGGAAUUGCGUUUGAAACUAUUUAGCUUGAGUACAGGAGAGGAAGGCGGAAUUCCCAGUGUAGCGGUGAAAUGCAUUGAUAUUGGGAAGAACACCGGUGGCGAAGGCGGCACUCUGGGCCGGUACUGACGCUGAGGAGCGAAAGCAUGGGGAGCAAACAGG